RNAcentral lists this long non-coding RNA (245 nucleotides) under Gallus gallus (chicken). The record is from RNAcentral. Lineage: Eukaryota; Metazoa; Chordata; Aves; Galliformes; Phasianidae.
GGAUCUCGGUGUUGGACCAGGAGCAGCUCUCGCAGGCGAAGGAGCUGACGAUGAUCUCUUUGAAGAAGGGGAUCCUGGUGAGCAGGAGCCGCGUCACCCCGUUGCGGAAGCAGUUCAUGCACAGGGACUCGAUCUCCGCCGGCUGCUGCUCGCCGUCCUCGGCGCUGAGGGGCCGAAACAAGGCAGGCCCCCCAGGAGCCGCCGCCUCCACCGCGCCCAGCGCCGACAUGUUGGCCGGGCCGCUC